GUGGAGGAGAGGUUAGGAGAAGCUGAGGGGCAGAGGGGGAGCUGGCAGAAUGCAAAUUGCAAGACCAAGCAAGCGAAAGGGAAAGGAACCACCACUACCCAUCAGGGAAUAGAUAUUUGGUGGCAGUGUUAUGUGCUGUCAAAUUACGGCCAUUGGGGAGGGGCUAUGAAUUACUGCUCCCCACCCACCCUAAACCCUGUUGGGUGGUCUAGCAAUCUAAAUGUAAAUUUCAAAGGGGAAAGACCUCCAGCACACAGACUAACUUGUUUUGUCUGUAGUUUUGAACAUUAACCAAUCAGAAUGGAGUUUUUGCUGUUCCCGGGCUUUUUUGAAACUCUACCCCUGUAACUGCCCCUUCUCACCAUGAGGUGAUCGAACCUCCAUCUUAGUUCUCUCUCUAUCCACAUUCUGCCUCAGUCAGUCGUCUCUCACACACACACUCUCUUGCAUGCAUGAAGAUGUAACAUUUCCACAGUUGGCUCUCUGAGCCUAAAUACCUCUAUGUUUCUGUUAUUCCUCUGUGAAGCUGAAAACGUUUAAUUAUGCUAACCCAUGAUCCCUGGGUGAAGAGCGAGGCGGACUGGAUGGCCCUCUCAGAUGGGGCGGGUAUGUAAGACUGGAGGUGAGAGCAAAGUGCCUCUCACAGGAGUGCUGUCCCUCCCGCCUACGGUCGAUAAAGAAAGUCAAACCCCGCCAAUUCCCCCACCCAGGAAGACAAGACCGCCUGGACCAGACCCAGGGAGGAUAGAGGAGAAUAUGAAAGAGUUAACGGUCAAGAAGACCAGAACUGGUUUGGCGGGAACAGAGUGAAAAGCACAGGUAGUGGUGGAGCUGGUGCUGGCGGAUAUAAAAGGGGGUGAAGGAGGACUUCCACCAGGUUGGGAGUGGAUGUAGAAGACCCGUGGACUGCCAAGGUGGCGAAGCUAAGAGUCCCUAAAGAAGAAGCCGAUGCUAAGAGAAGGUGAAAGAAUACCCCCAAACCAUCUUACUGGGGGGAAAGGGAAACAAAAGAAUGGAGAAGGAGACUGAGGGAGGAAAAGGAAAAGGUGGAGAGAGAACGGAGGGAGAGAUUAGAAUGGAGAAUAUGAGGGAUGCAGCAGAUGGAAUGGCAGGAGGACCGUGGCAGACAAUGGAUCCCUCCCCAGACCUCGCCUGGAUGGACCAGUGAGACGAGGACACAAUCCCCUUACUGGAGGGGGAGAAUGGACCAGUAUUAAACACGGGUGUUUCUCUGGAAUGGCCAGGACCCUGGAAUGUUCAAGAGGGAAACCCUUUCAAAGUUGAAGAAUGGAAACCCUUGCCUGACCCGUUGUUUGACACGGAGAAAGGUUGCUUUUGCCGAUACCGGAUUUCUGUUAAAUAAUGCAAUAAAUGUUACCCCUGAUUUCAAAA
This is a long non-coding RNA of Pogona vitticeps (central bearded dragon), 1392 nucleotides long. RefSeq lists it as uncharacterized. NCBI's taxonomy places the organism in Eukaryota, Metazoa, Chordata, Lepidosauria, Squamata, Agamidae. The record is from RefSeq and is a predicted model, not a curated record.